CAGUUCAGUUUACAGGUUAGCAGGCGGCAGCAGCUUGAUCCACUCAUGAACACUUCACAGGUACACCAGCAGUCCAAUUCAAUAGAGUUCAGGAUAGCAAACAUGAAUCAGCAGCGGUGACAUGACCUAGCAGAGACAGCCAGGCCUCAGCCUCAGCUCGAGUCAGCAGGAGGUACCAACAGGACUCCAGGAAAAGUUCUUGGCUGUGUCUCUCAGUGAAGUGAAGAUCAGCGAAGACACAAGACCAAGAAGCGUCGUACAGCUACCUCUACAAGCAAGCCCUCUCACAGUCUGCUGAGCCCUAUUUAUACUCCCUCCAAACAUCACAUGUCUUCCAUGGAUCUUGCCUCAGCAACACGAGUCUGUCUUAGCUGAUGUCACUCUGCCAAUUGAACCUUGGAAGCAAGAAGCCUCAGCACACCAUCAGAAGGUUUUUGGUACAUUUCUCUCUAUGGGGUCCUGACAGAUGCAGCUCAACUAUGCACUGUAAGGUGUCAUUAGUGAACAAUCCUUCAUCACGUGUCCUUUCACAUGCUUGCCUUAUUAGCAGAACAUCCUUUCACCUGUGUCCACUUCAGAAGAACAUUCCUUCACGAGUCUGCCCCUGCAAAACACCAUCUGACGCAACUGACAAGUUUCCACUUCAGGUCCCCACUUGGCAGGGAUCACAGGCUUCUGGAUGGAACAUUCACAAAUGGGCUGCUGGGGGCAGGGCGCGGUGCCGCUGCUUCGCCACCUGGUGGUCACACCUGGGACUGCAGCAUUUCCGAGUGCCAGCUGAGCUAGCCCUGUGCCCUUGGGGAGGAAGGCAGCCUGAGAUGAUGGCUGCUCACCUCUCUGGGGAGUCUCAUUAAACUCGUUUGGACGAGGUGAACACCUGUUCUUCACAGAACCAAGACUGCUGUUGGGUUCACUUCAAGGGCUCCCAUCAAGGAAACCAAAGGCUCAAAGAUGGCCUUACCAGUUCCUGCUCUUUUCUUGUCUCCAGAAUGAGGUCUUCCACUUAAAGCGGUGAGGUUAAAUGAGAAAAUGAACAAAUAAGCAUUUGCUUCCACCACCCCUACUACAACCAGUCACCACCAUCACCAUCAUCACAACCACCAUCAUCAUCACCAUCAUCGAAAUAACUACCACCAUCACCAUCACUACCAUCAGCAACAUCGACACAUCGCCAUCACCUCUGUUUCUGUCUUCUCACUACCGUCACUACGAUGGCUACUGUCUUCAUCGGCACCACCACACUAACACCAUCACCGUCACCCCAGAUACCGCCACUGUACUCUUCCUUCAUCUUUGCCAGCUGAGGCCAUAAUCACAGGCAGAUCCAGAUGGGCUCCUCAGAAGGCAAGGAUAGGACACUGCAGGGUCUCACACUCUGACGUCCACUCUGCUCCGUUUUCCAGCUCACCCUUGUGAGGAGACCUGACAGGAAGUACAGGAGCAGCCACCACAAAGGCCAUCCUCUUCAGUCUCAGUCCGCUAGGCAGGAGGCACUGACGGGCUAUGGGGAAGGAAUUCAGGCCAGGCCUUGUCUCUUCUCCUCUCUUCCUUGAGGGCAUCACUUCAGAGACCCCUGGGGCCCCAGGAGCCCACUUCGAUACUGUCUGCAAAUCCCCUUCAGCUCAUGGCUGGCAGCACCUCAGAGUGUUCCGGGUGUGGAACCCAGGUCCCUGCCUCUGCAGCAAGAUAAAGGCAGGCAUGUGUUUCAGAGCGCCAUUUCUCCAAAUCUCCACCCGAUGACUGUUCUGUUUAUCUGUGGCCGUACAGAGAGGAGCCAGCCAGCAAACAGUAACUGCCGUGGGGGAAGGCAGCUCUUAGUGGAGUGAGGAUGCUCAGACGGCUCAGACGGCUCAGGUGGCUCACCUCUCCAUGGUGGCAGACAAGACACUGGAUUCCUCUGAGCUUUGCUGUCCCAUGGACAUUUCACCCCAAUGUUAACCUGAGCAGGAUCCAGCCCUGACCAUCUAGAGUCAGUGUGGCAUCGGAGCGCUGCAAUGUCAGCUGUCACACAUUACAAAGAGGACAGAAAGCCAUGUCUUGGAUUAAAAUCCUGCCCCAGCCCAAGUGAAAGGACUGGAUAAACUUUGUUUAUUCCCAAAGUGAUCCAAGAGGCACAGAUAAGGGAUUUUGGGGAGGGGGCAGCAAAGUCUGUGACAUAAGACCUGGAUCCUGGAGAGAUGGCUCAGCGGUUAAAAGCACUGACUGCUCUUCCAGAGGACCUGAGUUCAAUUC
This is a long non-coding RNA of Mus musculus (house mouse), 2232 nucleotides long. RefSeq annotates it as predicted gene, 32245. NCBI's taxonomy places the organism in Eukaryota, Metazoa, Chordata, Mammalia, Rodentia, Muridae. The record is from RefSeq and is a predicted model, not a curated record. The transcript is spliced from 3 exons.